Molecule: long non-coding RNA, 1632 nt
Organism: Suricata suricatta (meerkat)
Lineage: Eukaryota; Metazoa; Chordata; Mammalia; Carnivora; Herpestidae
Exons: 4
Source: RefSeq, a predicted model, not a curated record
GUGGUUGCGGGCCUCGUUAGGGGUGUGCGGUGCUGUAUAAAUUCUAAAGUGCCAUUUCCCCACUGGGCAUCCUGCUCUUAGUCCCCCUCUAUGUACCUGCCCUCGGGCCCCGGUAAUUUUGGAGGCCCCCCCUGGGGCCUGCCUCGGCCUUCUCCCCCAACCUAGUAUUUCCACCUCCUCUCCUCCCAUAUUCCAGGAUGAGGUUCCCUAAGAACUACUGGGUUUCAGCCUCCUCGGGAAGCCUGGUCACUCAUCAACAUCUGAAAUGAGCUGAUAUCCUGAUUUAUGGUUUAUGCUCCAUCUCUCCUGUCAGAACGAAGUUUCCAGUAGGGCAGGGACCUUGCCUGCCUUGUUCCCUGAUGGGCCAUGUCUCACACAUGGCACACGGCAAGAGGCGUCCCAUGGGUAUUCAAUGAGGAGGGGCACUGUGUGCCUGUGAGACGCGGUGGGAGAGAAGUUGACUCUGGUGUCCUUUCUGCUUUUUGAAUUUUGAACCAUCAGGGACUGCCCUGGUGGAGGGAACAGGACCUCCUGCGGGGGUAGCCCAGCCAGCCUCGACCUUGACCUCGACGAUGAGGCUCUGGAUGUUGACAUUGGCCAGGGUCUUUGCCAACAAGCUCUUCCAGAAAGGUCCAACCUUUAUACCUGCUGCUUUAAGGAGGGCAUUGGUCUUAUCCUCUGUGACUGUCACCUAUCUCAUCAUUGGGCAGGAUGAGGGCUGGGCCGAGCAGAUGCAGGCCAGCUCUGAGCCGGAGACCUUGGUGUGGGGGAGUGCUGAGCGGGCGCUGCUGGGCGGGGCUCCUUGCUGCUGGGUCAGGUGAGGGCCUCACCCCAAAGCGACCGUAGCUUUUUUGGAAGGACCAAGCACCUUAGCAGCAGCUGGGGAAAGGGCCAGGGUCCUCUACUUUUAACCCCAGCUGUGUGUCGGGCCUCUUAUACAUCAUCUGAUGUGAUCUCAGGCCCCCAUUUCACAGGUGAGGAAACUGAUGCUCGGGGAGGUUAUGUAACAUUUGCCCGGUCAUUCAGAAGCAGGAUUUGAAUGCUGGCCUGCUCGGCUUUGGAACUCGUGGCUUCCCCUCCCCACUUCUCUGUAUCUCUGCUGAAGAUGUGCCCUUCAGGCUGGGCACGAAAUGAUCAAAGGCCCCAGAGCCAAGAGCCACGAUCUCCUGGCAACACGGGCUGCCUUCGACAGCCUGUUCCACCAUGUUCUGCGCCGGGGUGGGAAGACGCGGGUCCUCCCUCUCUGCAGUCUUUCCCUCCUCUCCUGCUCUCAUUCUGAGGCCUCAUUUCCCCAUCUGCUCCCAGUCUCCUUCCGGCCUCUCUCUGGCCCCGAUCCCAGCUCCCACCAAGGUAUUUGCCAGGAAUUUGGGGGUGGGGUAGGUCUGAGCUCCCCCUUCUACCAGUCCCCUCCCCUGCUUGGAUGCAGGAGGCAGAGGUGGCCCUGUUGCCUGGGGAGACGGAUGCCAUCUCUGACCCCCAGCAGCCCGUCUGACCCCCUCCCUGCCCUCGACCCCCCGGAGCCGUCACCAGGAGGAGGCCUGGGUAAUUGGUUCCAUCCAAGAUUCAUCCUCAAUGGUGCGAAAGGGAAAGUUAUAAAUAUUUUUAUCUAUAACUCACGACGAAUAAAAAUUU